RNAcentral lists this small nuclear RNA (278 nucleotides) under Cricetulus griseus (Chinese hamster). RNAcentral's name for it is "7SK RNA". It matches the Rfam family "7SK RNA". From Rfam's summary of the family: 7SK was discovered as an abundant small nuclear RNA in the mid-70s but a possible function has only recently been suggested. Two independent studies have found that 7SK RNA binds the CDK9/cyclin T complex (known as elongation factor P-TEFb). The record is from Rfam by way of RNAcentral. Lineage: Eukaryota; Metazoa; Chordata; Mammalia; Rodentia; Cricetidae.
AUGUGAAAGUCAUCUGGCUUAGACAUCUGUCACCCACUGAUCAACAGCAAUGAUUCCUAGCCUAAUGUCCCCUUCCUCCCACACUACUCCAGCUCCAAGUGUAUGUGUCCUUCCUGAAGCUGCACAAUCAGUUGAAAAGGCUAGAUGACCUCAGCUAAAGGAGGACCAGCCUCUGAUUAAGGGUACGAGUAGUUGUGCUCACCUACGAGACAAGUUCCAAGUAAGCUGUUAGGGAGUUUAUGCAACAGUUAGUGCAACAGUGGCAAGUGCAGAUGUCU